Bos taurus (domestic cattle) is the source of this 1873-nucleotide long non-coding RNA. Lineage: Eukaryota; Metazoa; Chordata; Mammalia; Artiodactyla; Bovidae. The record is from Ensembl.
AUUCGGCUCACAGAUUUGAGAUCCAGACUGCAGAUCAGAGGGGAGACUGACUUCUGCCCUUCAUUUGGACCAAAGAAUACUUAUCUCCUUAUUCCCAGCUUCUUCUCAAGUUGCAGCUAGACCUGGGGAGAUGUAAAUAUCAUGUGGGAUCCCAGUUUCCCAACCAGAAAUUGAACCUGUGCCUCCUGCAUUGGAACCAUGGAGUCUUAACCACUGAACCACCAGGAAAGUCCCAAUGAUGGAUUGUUUUGAGUAGGAACCUAUUCAUAUGAAAAGUAUGAAAUAUUCAAUAGAACACUCACCAAUAAAAGAUCAUUUUUAAUAUUCAGUGGGUAUAAAUCUCACAGUGACAAAAAUUAUUCAUUUAAAGGAGUGACUGUGGUUUAAAAUGAACACCCAAAAAAUGAGUGCAAGAGGUUUUGAUGAAUUAGUACACCACUCCUGGAAAGUGUGUUCAAUACAUUCUUUUUAACUGACCAUAGGUAAUCAGCCUUAAAAAGUAUUGAAGACAUGUAUAAGCCUGCACCAGGAAUUCUUUAUAACUCAUCAAGAUCCUUUGAGGUGAAGAGAUGGAAACUGUAUUUAUUAUUCUAUUUCUGCAUGGUUUUUCAAUAACUGUUAAAAUACAAAAUGGAUCUACAAACCAUCAGUUCAGUUCAGUUCAGUUCAGUCGCUCAUUCGUGUCCGACUCUUUGCAACCCCAUGAAUCGCAGCAAGUCAGGCCUCCCUGUCCAUCAGCAACUCCUGGAGUUCACUCAGACUCACGUCCAUUGAGUCAGUGAUGCCAUCCAGCCAUCCAUAGUUGAGAACAAUUAAAACUUAAGUAAAUGGAAAAGAUAUACCAUGUUCAUGGUUUUGAAGACUCUUUUCUUUCUUUUAGUUCUACCUCUGUUUAUUGCUACCAACCCAUCUUCCUCCACCUCCAUCGUGUGUGUGCUCUGUCAUGUAACCCGAUGGACUGCAGCCCUCCAGGCUCUUCUGUUCAAGGAGUUUUCCAGGCAAGAUUACUGGAGUGGGUUGCCAUUCCCAUCUCCUGAAGACUUUUUUCAAUUUUGCUUUUAUGUUAAAGGAUCAGUCAAUCAUGGACAGCCCUUUCUUUUUGAUACUACUUGUUUCUAAUAUUUGAUUCCUUAUAAUCCCCUUCAAUUUCAGAAAUAUUUUGUGUUUCUUUAAAUUAUCUAUAUGUGGCACAUAGUUACUUUAAUAUUUCAAUUCUCCCUAAACUGAUCUAUCCCAAUCAUAAUCCCAUCAAACAUUUUGUGUGUACAUAUAGAAUUGAACAAAUGUAUUCUAAAAUUUAUAUGAAAACACAACUACAAUAUUCAAUUGUAUAUAAUGUACUUGCAAUCUUGAAAAAGAAAGAAGUUGAAGGAAUUACAUUACCUGACUUCCUCAUAGUAGUCAAGAUUCUGAGACCAACAUAGGAUCAACAAAUAGAGGAAUAGAACAAAGCAGAAAACCCAAAGACAGAUCCAAACUUAGGAGAUACAGAGGCAAAGUGCAAAAUAGGUUUGGAAUGAAUUCUUCUUCAAAGAAAGAUGAUUAAUUAAAAGUCUAUAAAGGAUGUAAUAGGGUAUAUAAAGUCACGUCUAAGUGUCUUGUGAACUUUCAGUUCAGUUCAGUUCAGUCUCUCAGUCAUGUCCUACUCCUUGGACUGCAGCACGCCAGGCCUCCCCGUCCAUCACCAACUCCCAGAGUCCAUUCAAAUUCAUGUCCAUCAAGUCAGCGAUGCCAUCCAACCAUCUCAUCCUCUGUCGUCCCCUUCUCCUCCUGCUUUCAAUCGUCCCCAGCAUCAGGGUCUUUUCAAAUGGGUCAGCUCUUUGUAUCAGGAGUUUCAGCUUCAACAUUAGUCCUUCCAAUGAAUAUUCAGGAC